GCGGGAAUAGUUCAGUGGCAGUGAAAUAUUCUGCCAAUGGUUAGAACACCAAGCCUUGGCUGGAAGACACGAGUUCGAAUCUUGUUUCCCGCA
RNAcentral lists this transfer RNA (93 nucleotides) under Bacteroidales bacterium. RNAcentral describes it as "tRNA-OTHER". It matches the Rfam family "tRNA". Rfam says of the family: Transfer RNA (tRNA) molecules are approximately 80 nucleotides in length. Their secondary structure includes four short double-helical elements and three loops (D, anti-codon, and T loops). Lineage: Bacteria; Pseudomonadati; Bacteroidota; Bacteroidia; Bacteroidales. The record is from RNAcentral.